CGGGGUGGAUUAGUGGCGAACGGGUGAGUAACACGUGGGCAAUCUGCCCUUCACUCUGGGACAAGCCCUGGAAACGGGGUCUAAUACCGGAUACCACUCCUGCCCGCAUGGGCGGGGGUUGAAAGCUCCGGCGGUGAAGGAUGAGCCCGCGGCCUAUCAGCUUGUUGGUGGGGUAAUGGCCCACCAAGGCGACGACGGGUAGCCGGCCUGAGAGGGCGACCGGCCACACUGGGACUGAGACACGGCCCAGACUCCUACGGGAGGCAGCAGUGGGGAAUAUUGCACAAUGGGCGAAAGCCUGAUGCAGCGACGCCGCGUGAGGGAUGACGGCCUUCGGGUUGUAAACCUCUUUCAGCAGGGAAGAAGCGAAAGUGACGGUACCUGCAGAAGAAGCGCCGGCUAACUACGUGCCAGCAGCCGCGGUAAUACGUAGGGCGCAAGCGUUGUCCGGAAUUAUUGGGCGUAAAGAGCUCGUAGGCGGCUUGUCACGUCGGAUGUGAAAGCCCGAGGCUUAACCUCGGGUCUGCAUUCGAUACGGGCUAGCUAGAGUGUGGUAGGGGAGAUCGGAAUUCCUGGUGUAGCGGUGAAAUGCGCAGAUAUCAGGAGGAACACCGGUGGCGAAGGCGGAUCUCUGGGCCAUUACUGACGCUGAGGAGCGAAAGCGUGGGGAGCGAACAGGAUUAGAUACCCUGGUAGUCCACGCCGUAAACGUUGGGAACUAGGUGUUGGCGACAUUCCACGUCGUCGGUGCCGCAGCUAACGCAUUAAGUUCCCCGCCUGGGGAGUACGGCCGCAAGGCUAAAACUCAAAGGAAUUGACGGGGGGCCCGCACAAGCAGCGGAGCAUGUGGCUUAAUUCGACGCAACGCGAAGACCUUACCAGGCUUGACAUAUACCGGAAAGCAUAGAAUAGUGCCCCCUUGGGGUCGGUAUCAGGCGGUGCAUGGCUGUC
Molecule: ribosomal RNA, 951 nt
Filed under: Streptomyces sp. 0112ALTP51
Lineage: Bacteria; Bacillati; Actinomycetota; Actinomycetes; Kitasatosporales; Streptomycetaceae
Description: bacterial SSU rRNA
Rfam family: Bacterial small subunit ribosomal RNA
Source: RNAcentral